AGCAGCCGCGGUAAUUCCAGCUCCAAUAGCGUAUAUUAAAGUUGUUGCAGUUAAAAAGCUCGUAGUUGAAUUUCGGGAUUAGUACGUUGGUCGUGCCUUCGGUACGUACUGGUGUUACUGAUUCCUACCUUCUGACGAACCAUCAUGUCAUUAAUUUGGUGUGGCGGGGAAUCAGGACUGUUACUUUGAAAAGAUUAGAGUGUUUAAAGCAGGCUCGCGCUUGAAUACAUUAGCAUGGAAUAAUGAAAUAGGACGUUGACCCUAUUUUGUUGGUUUCUAGGAUUGACGUAAUGAUUAAUAGGGAUAGUUGGGGGCAUUAGUAUUCAAUUGUCAGAGGUGAAAUUCUUGGAUUUAUUGAAGACUAACUACUGCGAAAGCAUUUGCCAAGGAUGUUUUCAUUAAUCAAGAACGAAAGUUAGGGGAUCGAAGACGAUCAGAUACCGUCGUAGUCUUAACCAUAAACUAUGCCGACUAGGGAUCGGAUGAUGUUAUUUUUAAUGACUCA
RNAcentral lists this ribosomal RNA (505 nucleotides) under uncultured fungus. RNAcentral describes it as "SSU rRNA". It matches the Rfam family "Eukaryotic small subunit ribosomal RNA", at positions 569 to 1078 of the family's 1831-position model. Lineage: Eukaryota; Fungi. The record is from RNAcentral.